UAUGGCAAAUGUGAGAUGCAGUGUACGGAACAUCAAUAUUCUAGUAUGAGAAGUUAACGAUUUAAGUCCUUCUUAAAUGAGGCCAUUUACCCAUAGAGGGUGCCAGGCCCGUAUAACGUUAAUGAUUACUAGAUGGUGUUUCCAAAGAGUCGUGUUGCUUGAUAGUGCAGCACUAAGUGGGUGGUAAACUCCAUCUAAAACUAAAUAUAACCAUGAGACCGAUAGUAAACAAGUACCGUGAGGGAAAGUUGAAAAGAACUCUGAAUAGAGAGUUAAAUAGUACGUGAAACUGCUUAGAGGUUAAGCCCGAUGAACCUGAAUAUCCGUUAUGGAAAAUUCAUCAUUAGAAUUGUAAUAUUUUAAACAAUAUUAUAAUAAUAGUGUGCAUUUUUUCCAUAUAAGGACAUUGUAAUCUAUUAGCAUAAAUAUUUAUCAUAAAAUUAUGUCUGAUUGCUUAUUUGAAUUAUAUGCUUGCAUUUUAACAUAAAAUAAAAGAUAUAAAUUUGAUAAAGUGCUGAUAGAUUUAUAUGAUUACAGUGCGUUAAUUUUUCGGAAUUAUAUAAUGGCAUAAUUAUCAUUGAUAUUUGUGUUUAUUAUAUGCAUUUGUAUGAUUAACAAUGCGAAAGAUUCAGGAUACCUUCGGGACCCG
RNAcentral lists this ribosomal RNA (649 nucleotides) under Drosophila lummei. RNAcentral's name for it is "eukaryotic LSU rRNA". It matches the Rfam family "Eukaryotic large subunit ribosomal RNA", at positions 128 to 651 of the family's 3401-position model. Lineage: Eukaryota; Metazoa; Arthropoda; Insecta; Diptera; Drosophilidae. The record is from RNAcentral.